This 301-nucleotide ribosomal RNA is filed under the name uncultured bacterium. RNAcentral's name for it is "partial 16S ribosomal RNA". It matches the Rfam family "Bacterial small subunit ribosomal RNA", at positions 509 to 807 of the family's 1533-position model. The record is from RNAcentral.
CAGUCGCCACGGUAAUACGAGGGGAGCUAGCGUUAUUCGGAAUUACUGGGCGUAAAGCGCACGCAGGCGGCUUUGUAAGUUAGAGGUGAAAGCCCAGAGCUCAACUCUGGAAUUGCCUUUAAGACUGCAUCGCUUGAAUCCAGGAGAGGUGAGUGGAAUUCCGAGUGUAGAGGUGAAAUUCGUAGAUAUUCGGAAGAACACCAGUGGCGAAGGCGGCUCACUGGACUGGUAUUGACGCUGGGGUGCGAAAGCGUGGGGAGCAAACAGGAUUAGAUACCCGCGUAGUCCCUGUCUCUUAUAC